CACGUAGGCGGACUCUUAAGUCAGGGGUGAAAUCCUGGAGCUCAACUCCAGAACUGCCUUUGAUACUGGGAGCCUUGAGUUCGGGAGAGGUGAGUGGAACUGCGAGUGUAGAGGUGAAAUUCGUAGAUAUUCGCAAGAACACCAGUGGCGAAGGCGGCUCACUGGCCCGAUACUGACGCUGAGGUGCGAAAGCGUGGGGAGCAAACA
This 207-nucleotide ribosomal RNA is filed under the name uncultured bacterium. Its description in RNAcentral is "partial 16S ribosomal RNA". It matches the Rfam family "Bacterial small subunit ribosomal RNA", at positions 568 to 774 of the family's 1533-position model. The record is from RNAcentral.